UUUUGGACAAUGGGCGCAAGCCUGAUCCAGCCAUUCCGCGUGAGUGAAGAAGGCCUUCGGGUUGUAAAGCUCUUUCGCAAGGGAAGCAAACUUACUUUCUAAUAAAGAGUGAGGUUGACGGUACCUUGAUAAGAAGCACCGGCUAACUACGUGCCAGCAGCCGCGGUAAUACGUAGGGUGCGAGCGUUAAUCGGAAUUACUGGGCGUAAAGCGUGCGCAGGCGGCUUUGUAAGUCAGAUGUGAAAUCCCCGAGCUCAACUUGGGAACUGCGUUUGAAACUACAAGGCUAGAAUAUGUCAGAGGGGGGUAGAAUUCCACGUGUAGCAGUGAAAUGCGUAGAGAUGUGGAGGAAUACCAAUGGCGAAGGCAGCCCCCUGGGAUAAUAUUGACGCUCAUGCACGAAA
Molecule: ribosomal RNA, 404 nt
Filed under: uncultured bacterium
Lineage: Bacteria
Description: bacterial SSU rRNA
Rfam family: Bacterial small subunit ribosomal RNA
Source: RNAcentral